ACAGCUGAUGCAACCAAUCAAAUUGGUAACUAUUUUUGAUUGUUUGUAUCAGCUGUGU
RNAcentral lists this microRNA precursor (58 nucleotides) under Danio rerio (zebrafish). Its description in RNAcentral is "Dre-Mir-2189_pre stem-loop". Lineage: Eukaryota; Metazoa; Chordata; Actinopteri; Cypriniformes; Danionidae. The record is from RNAcentral.